Molecule: ribosomal RNA, 533 nt
Filed under: uncultured bacterium
Lineage: Bacteria
Description: bacterial SSU rRNA
Rfam family: Bacterial small subunit ribosomal RNA
Source: RNAcentral
UGAACGCUGGUGGCUGCCUAACAAUGCAAGUCGAACGGUAACAGGCGGAGCUUGCUCUGUGCUGACGAGUGGCGGACGGGUGAGUAAUGCUUAGGAAUCUGCCCGGUAGCGGGGGAUAGCUCGGGGAAACUCGAAUUAAUACCGCAUACGCCCUAAGGGGGAAAGCGGGGGAUCUUCGGACCUCGCACUAUUGGAUGAGCCUAAGUCAGAUUAGCUAGUUGGUGGGGUAAAGGCCUACCAAGGCGACGAUCUGUAGCUGGUCUGAGAGGACGAUCAGCCACACUGGGACUGAGACACGGCCCAGACUCCUACGGGAGGCAGCAGUGGGGAAUAUUGGACAAUGGGGGCAACCCUGAUCCAGCAAUGCCUCGUGUGUGAAGAAGGCCUGCGGGUUGUAAAGCACUUUCAGUAAAGAAGAAAUCCUCAGAGUUAAUACCUCUGUGGCUUGACAUUACUUACAGAAGAAGCACCGGCUAACUCCGUGCCAGCAGCCGCGGUAAUACGGAGGGUGCGAGCGUUAAUCGGAAUUACUG